UACGGAGGAGGCAAGCGUUAUCCGGAAUUAUUGGGCGUAAAGCGUCCGUAGGUGGUUUAGUAAGUCUGCUGUCAAAGCACGGAGCUUAACUCUGUAAAGGCAGUGGAAACUACUAGGCUAGAGUGCGGUAGGGGCAGAGGGAAUUCCCAGUGUAGCGGUGAAAUGCGUAGAGAUUGGGAAGAACAUCGGUGGCGAAAGCGCUCUGCUGGGCCUGCACUGACACUGAGGGACGAAAGCUAGGGGAGCGAAAGGG
This 253-nucleotide ribosomal RNA is filed under the name uncultured Leptolyngbya sp. RNAcentral's name for it is "partial 16S ribosomal RNA". It matches the Rfam family "Bacterial small subunit ribosomal RNA", at positions 524 to 776 of the family's 1533-position model. Lineage: Bacteria; Bacillati; Cyanobacteriota; Cyanophyceae; Leptolyngbyales; Leptolyngbyaceae. The record is from RNAcentral.